This 77-nucleotide transfer RNA is filed under the name Anguilla anguilla (European eel). RNAcentral's name for it is "tRNA-OTHER". The record is from RNAcentral. Lineage: Eukaryota; Metazoa; Chordata; Actinopteri; Anguilliformes; Anguillidae.
GCAGUGUAGUAUAAUGGUUAAGGAGUUGGUCUUGUAACCUAAAGGUCAGAGGUUCGAUUCCCCGGUAGGGCACUGCA